Pygocentrus nattereri (red-bellied piranha) is the source of this 6185-nucleotide RNA transcript. It is a transcript of the gene named ATPase sarcoplasmic/endoplasmic reticulum Ca2+ transporting 2b, with no coding region annotated. The record is from RefSeq and is a predicted model, not a curated record. The transcript has 21 exons. Lineage: Eukaryota; Metazoa; Chordata; Actinopteri; Characiformes; Serrasalmidae.
CGCUUUCCACAUGCGGACACUGAAACAGCGCUUGCGGGAAUCGGUGGAGGAGGAGAGAGGCGAAAGCAAGCGGAGCUGCUGCUGUUGAUGGUGGCAUACUAACGAACCACGGAUCCACCCGGUACUUCACUGCUCAAGCGCAACAACGGCGGCGGCGGACGACACGAGAAAGACACGCGUUACCGAGUCGUCGAAGACCAAACGGCUGACUAGUUUGAGUCCUCAGUGACAGCAGUUCGAUCAAACUUCAGUAUCGUUAGCUAACGAUCGCUGCUUUGCCGGUUGUGCAAUUGCGCGUUGAAUCGGACUCGCCGUUGCUACUUGAGCCGUUAUUGCCCAGCAACGGAGCCCAGCCAACGGCCGCCGUUGAUCCCCGUUGCCGUUUAAAGUUUGUUCCGGCGAUUUGGCUCCUGUUUUUGGAUCUGGGAGCCGCUGAAGGAAACCGGGCGGUUUUUUGAGGAGCUUAAAACGCCGUCCAACGAUGGAGAACGCACACACGAAGACCGUGGAAGAAGUUUACAGCUAUUUCAGCGUCAACGAGAGCACCGGGCUCAGCCUCGACCAGGUCAAGCGGCAGAAGGAGAAGUGGGGACCGAACGAAUUACCAGCAGAAGAAGGAAAAUCACUGUGGGAGCUGGUGGUGGAGCAGUUUGAGGAUCUCCUAGUCAGGAUUCUUCUUCUAGCCGCAUGCAUAUCUUUUGUGCUGGCCUGGUUUGAAGAGGGAGAAGAGACCAUUACGGCUUUUGUGGAGCCUUUUGUAAUAUUGCUAAUUCUUAUAGCCAACGCCAUUGUAGGGGUCUGGCAAGAGAGAAAUGCAGAAAAUGCCAUCGAGGCCCUCAAGGAGUAUGAGCCCGAGAUGGGCAAAGUCUAUCGGCAGGACAGGAAGAGUGUGCAGAGGAUCAAAGCCAGAGACAUCGUGCCUGGGGACAUUGUGGAAGUCGCGGUGGGUGACAAAGUUCCUGCAGAUAUCCGCCUGACUUCAAUCAAAUCCACCACACUAAGAGUGGACCAGUCCAUUCUGACAGGGGAGUCUGUAUCGGUCAUCAAACAUACGGACCCAGUCCCGGACCCACGCGCCGUUAACCAGGACAAAAAGAACAUGCUGUUCUCUGGCACAAACAUUGCGGCCGGUAAGGCCGUGGGCGUGGUGGUGGCCACGGGCGUGAAUACUGAGAUCGGGAAGAUCCGUGACGAGAUGGCGUCCACGGAGCAGGAGCGCACUCCACUGCAGCAGAAGCUGGACGAGUUCGGAGAGCAGCUUUCCAAGGUCAUCUCCCUCAUCUGCAUUGCUGUGUGGAUUAUCAACAUCGGCCACUUCAACGACCCCGUUCACGGUGGCUCCUGGAUUCGCGGAGCCGUCUACUACUUUAAGAUCGCAGUUGCGCUGGCAGUAGCUGCCAUCCCCGAGGGGCUCCCAGCGGUCAUCACCACCUGCCUGGCUCUAGGCACCCGACGUAUGGCCAAGAAGAACGCCAUCGUUCGCUCCCUGCCCUCUGUGGAGACGCUGGGCUGCACCUCGGUCAUCUGCUCGGACAAGACUGGCACCCUGACAACCAACCAGAUGUCAGUUUGCAGGAUGUUCAUAGUUGACCAAGUGGACGGAGACAGCUGCUCGCUCAGAGAGUUCACCGUUACUGGUUCCACAUACGCACCUGAAGGAGAAGUGCACCAGGAUGGUAAACCAGUGAAAUGUUCCAAGUAUGAUGCUCUUGUUGAGAUGGCAACGAUCUGUGCGCUGUGCAAUGACUCAUCGUUGGACUAUAAUGAGGCCAAAGGAGUCUAUGAGAAGGUUGGAGAGGCAACGGAAACCGCACUCUCAUGCCUAGUGGAGAAGAUGAAUGUGUUUGACACUGAUCUCAAAGGCCUUUCCAAGAUUGAACGGGCCAAUGCCUGUAACUCUGUAAUUAAGCAGCUGAUGAAGAAAGAGUUCACACUGGAGUUCUCGCGGGACAGGAAGUCCAUGUCCGUGUACUGCACCCCCAACAAAGCCCGAUGCUCCAUUGGCAAGAUGUUUGUCAAGGGUGCUCCAGAAGGAGUGAUCGACAGGUGUACACACAUCCGUGUGGGCAGUAAUAAGGUUCUGCUGACGCCAGGUAUUAAGGAGAAGCUCAUGUCUGUGAUCCGCGAAUACGGGACAGGGAGGGAUACGCUGAGGUGCCUGGCGCUGGCGACACGGGACAACCCCAUCAGCAAAGAGGACCUGGUGCUGGAGGACUCAGCCCGCUUUGUGGAGUACGAGACUGAUCUGACCUUUGUGGGCUGCGUGGGCAUGCUGGACCCCCCUAGGGCCGAGGUGGCUGCCUCCAUGAAGCUGUGUCGUCUGGCAGGCAUCAGGGUUAUCAUGAUCACUGGUGAUAACAAGGGAACAGCUGUCGCCAUCUGCAGGCGCAUUGGCAUCUUUGGCGAGGAUGACGACGUCUCAUGCAUGGCCUUCACAGGCCGCGAGUUUGAUGACCUGACGCCUGCCGCCCAGCGAGAGGCUGUGCUUAGUGCCCGCUGCUUUGCCCGUGUCGAACCUUCACACAAAUCCAAGAUUGUGGAGUACCUGCAGUCCUAUGACGAGAUCACUGCCAUGACCGGUGAUGGUGUGAACGACGCCCCUGCUCUGAAGAAGGCUGAGAUCGGCAUUGCCAUGGGCUCUGGAACGGCUGUGGCCAAAACGGCCUCCGAGAUGGUGCUGGCUGACGAUAACUUUGCCACCAUUGUGGCGGCGGUGGAGGAGGGCCGAGCCAUCUACAACAACAUGAAGCAGUUCAUCCGCUACCUCAUCUCUUCUAAUGUUGGAGAAGUGGUCUGCAUUUUCUUGACUGCAGCGUUGGGCUUCCCUGAGGCUCUGAUCCCGGUGCAGCUCCUGUGGGUGAACCUGGUGACGGACGGCCUGCCCGCUACCGCCCUGGGCUUCAACCCACCUGAUCUGGACAUCAUGAACAAGCCUCCUCGCAACGCCCGCGAGCCCCUCAUCUCUGGCUGGCUCUUUUUCAGAUACCUGGCCAUUGGCUGCUAUGUUGGCACAGCCACAGUUGGUGCUGCUGCCUGGUGGUUUGUUGCUGCUGAAGACGGGCCGAGAGUCACCUUCUACCAGCUGAGUCACUUCCUCCAGUGUGCACCUGAAAACCCUGAGUAUGAAGGCGUUAACUGCGAGGUGUUUGAGUCGCCAUACCCCAUGACCAUGGCUCUGUCUGUGCUGGUCACCAUUGAGAUGUGCAACGCCCUCAACAGUGUGUCUGAGAACCAGUCUCUGCUGCGUAUGCCCCCCUGGGAGAACGUGUGGCUGCUGGGUGCCAUCUGCCUCUCCAUGUCCCUCCACUUCCUCAUCCUCUACGUGGAGCCUCUCCCGAUGAUCUUUCAGAUCACCCCGCUGAACGUGACCCAGUGGCUGACGGUGCUGAAGAUUUCCCUGCCGGUCAUCCUGCUGGACGAGGUGCUCAAGUUUGUAGCCAGGACCUACGUGGAGCCCGGUAAAGAGCUGGACAAGCCUGCGGGCAAGGCCUGCUCGCUCAGCGCCUGGACAGAGGGCAUCUCCUGGCCCUUUGUGGCUCUUACACUCCCACUGGUGCUUUGGAUCUACAGCACCGACACUAACCUGGCUGAAAUGUUCUGGUCCUGACUCAUAUGAGCGCAACCCCACCCCUCACCCUCACCCUGUGUGUAGAUAGAGAGAACCUGUGAGUGCGUGUGAGUGCAAGUGUGCCUGUGCACCAGUGAAUGUGCACGACGAGGACAGAGUUAACACGAACAUAACAAUAAUAUAAAAAUGUAACUGUUCUUUUUAAAAACAAAUGUCUAGUGGGUUAUGGAGGGGACCACAUAGAGCUGAAGUCUUUAAGUAUUAGUGACAGAUGUUGUUGUUGUUGAUAUUAUUAUUACCACCACUGCUGGUUUGGUCUUGUUUCUUGCCUUUUUUUUAAUAUUUAAUAAUUUGGAAGCAUCAUCUAUCUUAAUUUCUGAGGUAUCAUUUCAAACUGAAUACUAAUUGUUUGUUUUUUUUUGGUCCUCCCAUUGAGUGCAUGACGAAAAGCUCUGAUUAUGUGUACAGAGGUUGAACACUAUUUUAUACAGGUCGUGUCGUUGGUCCUAUUUCGAGUUCUCCAUCGGUCAGAGAGAGCUGGAGCAACAGGCAGGCUACGUCUAGGCAGCCGUUUAGAUCAGAUUUCUUUUUCCCACUCCCCACCAGAUUCGAUGCAUAUCAGAGAUUUUCCUUAAAGCCAUAAUGUACGAAGUCCAGACCGGAACCAGUUUGACUACGUUUGUAGGCAUUUCUGCAACUUACCCCGCCAUCAGGUAGCUUGUCUAAACGCACAUCUGUCGGAAAAGCCAUGGAAGUGAACAGAGCAUCCCAGGCAGCUGCCUAAACGUAGCCAGAAAGGUCUGGAAAGAGUCGUUUACUUACGUUUACCAUUGUCUUUAGUUUGAAUGUUAAACUCUUUCAGAGCCAGUGGACAAGGGCGGAUUGGGACGGGAGCAUGGGCCAAGGGGGUGGGGAGCGAAUGUUCGUAUGCAUCAACUAAAUCAGAUCCCGAGAGCUGCAUGUUCUGUAACCUUGCAUGCGUUACAUGUGGGUUUCAUUCAUGAUUUGUCCGUCUUCCCCUUUGUACAAUAGCAACCUUGGUGUUCCUUUUUCUUUUCUUUUCUUUUUUUAUUUUAUUACCGUAAACAAAUUAGUAAAGCCAGUUUUUCUGCACUAGGCAGAGCACAGCUACCUCAAUACAGUCUGAUUUAGUUUCUCUCUGGUUACACCCCCCCCCCCCCACCCUUCCCCCCCCCCUCCCCACACACACACACACACACACACACACACACACACACUUAGCUUUCCACAGUAUGAUGUUAUUGCGUUGAGGUGUGCCCCAUUGGCUUGUGCAGAAAAAGCAAUCAUCUUCAUAUCCUCUGAUUUACUUUUUAAGGAUUUGUUUUUUCCCCCUCCUUUAUAUUUUAUAAUUGAUUUGUAUUAACUUAAUUUAGGCUAUUUUUCAAGGUGGGGUGGGUGACGCGCGGAUGUAAACGUUACCAUCAGCGGAUCAGGGCUGGAGACGAGAGGUUAACACCAUAGGUUUAAGUAUUUGCAUUUAGGACAUGAAUUUUAUGAUGCAAAACCAAAAUGUUUCACUUUUUUGUUUUUGUUUUGUUUUUCUACUUCAACAAAAGAAAUACACUCUCAUGGACCAUUUGAAUUAAAAACAUUGCGUGUCUCUUCAUUUUAUGGUAAUGUUAUUUCUUUUUUAAGAGGAUAUAUGUAGAGUUUCAGGAGCAAAUAUACUUGAAUACAGAAAUUGAUGUACAUGAAGUUGGCGAACGAGCAGGUGAGCACAGGCGGAAGAGCUUCCUCAGGCCUGUGCUACUGCGGGGGCCUGUCUGUCUGUACACAGCACAAUGGUAUCAAAUGUACAUUUUCUACUAUAGGAAAAAAAAGCUAUAUCGGUCAUCACCCUAAUCCUCGCUUGCUGAAAUCUGUGCUUAGAUGCCCGGUGAAGCAUGUUGUCGUGCCAUGUGAGUGGCACUGCCAGUGUUGGUAUCUAACACAACUCUGCUUUUCCCUCUCUAUGCCUUCAAAUGGGCCUCCCCUUAACCGACUUGCGCCUUGUAAGAUGUGCCCCUCUCCCUUCAGCUUGUUCUGGGGAAAACCGCAGGCUUCUUCUCGUGCAUGUGUUUUUGAGUGGCAUUCCCUUCUCCAUAUCAUACGCUGCAUGAUCCAUGUGCAGACCAGGGAAGACGAGCAGUCCUUGCACUGAUGGAACAAAUGUUUAAAAAAAAAAAUAUUAUUAAUAAAAAAAGGCUUGGCUGAGUGUGAUGGACACUGAAUGAACUACAGUGGCCGCUGGUGGCGCCGUAGGAGCAGGAGAAGACUGUGCUGGUCAGCGUGUGAGUGUGUGUGUGUGUGUGUGUGUGUGUGUGUGUGUGCUGUGUGAGGUUAGGGUCCUCUACUUUGCAUGAAGACAAAAAAAAGCUGAUUUGCAAGCAGAGAUUGUAAGAAGAUUUUGGUUUUCUUUCUUUUUUUAAACGGUGUAAAAUGUCAUAGUUUUCUAUACAGUAUAUAUAUAUGUAUAAUAUAUAGUACAAUGCAUGCCUUCAGUUGUAAGUAGCCAAACAAUUUUAUCUAUAUUUAUAUAGUAAUUUGCUGUGUACAUUGCUGCUCAAUGCUAUGACAUGAACAUCAUUUUACAAAUAAACUCACCAGUUUGAUUUUA